Molecule: ribosomal RNA, 253 nt
Filed under: uncultured bacterium
Lineage: Bacteria
Description: partial 16S ribosomal RNA
Rfam family: Bacterial small subunit ribosomal RNA
Source: RNAcentral
CACGUAGGGUGCGAGCGUUGUCCGGAAUUAUUGGGCGUAAAGGGCUCGUAGGCGGUUUGUCACGUCGGGAGUGAAAACUCGGGGCUUAACCCCGAGCCUGCUUCCGAUACGGGCAGACUAGAGGUAUGCAGGGGAGAACGGAAUUCCUGGUGUAGCGGUGAAAUGCGCAGAUAUCAGGAGGAACACCGGUGGCGAAGGCGGUUCUCUGGGCAUUACCUGACGCUGAGGAGCGAAAGUGUGGGGAGCGAACAGG